This 4376-nucleotide long non-coding RNA is filed under the name Vitis vinifera (wine grape). Its description in RNAcentral is "long non-coding RNA (VVIN_LNC005285)". Lineage: Eukaryota; Viridiplantae; Streptophyta; Magnoliopsida; Vitales; Vitaceae. The record is from RNAcentral.
CUUUAAGUUGCCUAAUCUACAAUUCUAAGGAGAAAUUGAGUCCACCUACCAUAUUCAUUUUGAACUCUUUUUCCAUUUCCUCAGCAAAAUUAAGGGUAAAGUCACUUGAGUGGGGUCCAAAAACUAUAUUAUCAACAUAAAUAUGAGUUAUUAAUAGUUUGACUUAGACCUAUGAAUGAAAAGAGUUCUAUCAACUCCCCAUCUCUCAAAACCUUUUUUCAAAAGGUAAGUUGUAAGCCUCUCAUACCAAGCCUCUCAUAUUUACAAAAGAAUGAUUCCAAUGAUUUUAGUUAAUUUGAUCAUUAAGAAAAACGAGUUCAGUUUUAUUAUUAAGAAAAAUGAUUUUAGUUUUAUUAUUAUUAUUAAAAAAAUCAUCUCAAUAUUCCUUAAAAAAUGUUUCAGCUUACAUUAAAAAAAGAGUUCAAUUAAAGAAAAAACAAAAAAAAUGAUUUCAAAUUUUAUUUUAUUUACAAGUUUGCUGAUUAAAAUAAUAUAUAAAAAAGAUGAUUGAUAAAAUCAAACUGGUACGUAAUAGAAAUAAACAUAUAAUAAUAAUAAUAAUAAUAAUAAUAAUAAUAAUAUGAUGAUGAUGAUGAAUCAAUGGAGUUAAAUAAAUCAAUGUGGCCAAUCCAAAGCAAGAAAACAAGUAACUAUACGCUAACCCAUAAUCCAAACGAAGGUCAAAUACAACAAAGACCAAUUUACGAGUGAAUGCCAUGUGGUCGGUAGCUUAUCUCCGAUUAGAACAAAAGAUGGAGACAUGGAUAUGCACCAUUUCCGUUUGGCGUCGGUUUGGCUUCAAAGGGUGCUUCCUGUGCACCUGAACUAGCUUAUCUACGAUUAGAACCAAAAGGUGAUGGAGACAUGGCUGCACCAUUUCCGUUGGCAUCGGUUUGACUUCAAAGGGCGUUUCUUGUGUACUUGAAGAUGGAAAAUAUAAAUUUAUUAGAAACUUACUUUUCAUCAACAGUGUUUCGUCUUGAGGUCCACCUUUUCAAUUCUACUUCAUAAUGCUUGGUUGGUGCUAGUGAGAAAAUUUGGACUCAAACUGAACUAGGCACAUCCCCCUAAGUCCAAAGGGUGGUUCAGUUCAUACAAGAAAAUAAUUUUUACAACUCUUAUUUGAAAAUUUAUUUUUACAAUUUGAAAAUUUAUUUAUGUAAUACAAAUAAACAUAAAAUAAUAAUAAUAAUAAUAAUAAUAUGACAAAUCUAUAGUUGAUGGCCUAUUUGAAAUAAGGAUGAAAAUAUCGGUAAUCAUGGAUAUAUCGGUAACUUGAUUUUAUGGAUAUAUUGGAUAUAUCGGAGAAAUAUCGAUGAAUAUUUUGAAAAAAAAUUUUUGUAAGCAAAAAAUUGAUCAAAACUCAUGGAAAUGUAAAAAAAAACCUUGUAUUAAUAUAAUUAAAAGUAUAAUAGACAAUUUAAAGUUGUUUUGGUGAAGAAUUUGAUAUAUAUAGAUAUAUAUAAUAUGAUUUGCGAUAUUAUACAUAAUUAUAUUAUAUCAGUUGUACUUAUACACUCAUUAUGAAGUUUCAUAAAAAACUUAUUUUAGUAAAUAUCAAUAAUUUAUACAUAUUAUUAUAUAGCUUGAGGUUCAAUUCUGACCAUUGGAUCACAUCCAGUUUUAAUUUGAACCAUAGAUACACAAGGAUCAAAAUUGAAAUAUCAAUAAAAUAUUUUAUUUGAGAUUUAAUUUCUAAAAUUUUAUUAAAAAUACGUGAUAAUAACUUUUUUUUUAUUAAUAUUAAUUUAUUUAAAUAAUUAAAAUUAUUAAUAAUUUAUCUUAUUAAAUUAAUUUUUAAUUUAUAAAAUAUAUCGAUAAAAAAUGGAAAUUUUAAUCCAUGGUUGUGAUUUAAUAAAAAUAAAGAUGAAUAAUUAAUAAUUAUUUAUAUAGAGAGUGGAAAAUUGUUCUCAUGAUAUGUUUCUUCUUCUUUUUUAAUCCCUACUAAAUCUAAAAAUAAAAUGGGCCACCCACUUCUCUCACUCGGCAUCAAGAAGCCCUUUUUCUGGAGUUGCCCUCCAAACGAGAGAAUCCCUAAUAAGGCCCUAUUUUCCGCCGCCACUCUCAAUCCUCCCAGGUACUAAUCUAAUCUUGUUAUUUAUUUUUAUUUUUCUGCAACCCCGUUUGAUUCCCAAGAAAAUCCAUCCCCCAUUCGUUUUCCGGGAAAGUUCAUCCUCGUUUGAUUUCCGAGCAAAUCCAUGCAAAACCCCCAAGGAAAACCAGAAAGAUUGCUUUUUUUUUUUUGCUUCCUGUGUUUUCUGGAUCUGUUCUAGUGGUCGCUUUGCUUUUGUGCCAUUGGAUUUAAAUUUCACGAACCCUAAAUCCACGAUUUUUGAGCCAGGUUAAAAAACACAACCUUUGCCUGCAAAUCAUGAUUAGAUUUUGUAUCUUGUGCGCGGGCUGGACUGGUAGGAAAUAUCGGGAAAUUUCCCGAAAAAUCUGAAAUAAAAUCGGCGAUACAAACCGAAAAUUCGCCGAUAAAUUGCAGUAUCCGACGAUUUUUGGAAGAUUUUGCCGAUUUUUCGCCUGCAUCCAUUUUUCGGCGGUUUUUUCGCCGACUUUAACCGAAAUUUGGCGAAAUUUCUCCCAUCGACAUUUCGCCCCCCUCUUUCGUAUCGCCGGCCACCGAAACCCAAAAUUUUGGCGAAAAAAGUGGAAACUUUCAUCCUUGAUUUGGAAAAGGUGCUUGAUGGAGGAAUGCACCAUCGUCUUCCGUUGCCGCAUGCCCAUUUCCGUUUGGCAUUUUGAAACUUUAUGUUUCGACAGCUCAAACGGAACUAAAGGCAGAUCCCCUCAAGUCCGAUGGUGGAAAAGGUGCUUGAUGGAGGGAUGCACUACCGUUUUCCGUUUGUCAUUCGGCCGCAUGCCCAUUUCCGUUUGGCAUUUGGCUUCAAACAAACUGAGCUUAUUUUUCGUCAACUCAAACGGGAACUAAAGGCAGAUCCCCUCAAGUCCGAUGGGGUGGUUCAGUUUGUCUCACUGCUAUAAAUAAUACACCACCUGAAGCUUAGCCAUUCACAAUAUUAUUUCUUCAAGCUCAGUCAUUGUAAUGUUUCUUUAUUUAUUUGUUUGUUUUCUUGUUGUAUAUUUCAUGGAAGCAGCUUUAUUGGGUUUCUUCCUUCUUUGCAGGGAAAUUCAUAAUGGCAAGAACACAGCAGAAGAAAUCGCUAUGGACCCCAGAAGAAGACGAUAAGCUCAAAGAAUUUAGGCACAAAUACCCCAAUCUAUCUUGGCCAGCUAUCGCAAAGCAGGCAGAGCUGAACAGGACUGGUAAGAGUUGUUGGGAGAGUUGGGAGAACAAUCUGAAUCCUGAUAUCAACAAAGGGGAAUUCUCCCCACAGGAAGAUGAACUCAUCAUCCCGCUAAAGAGCGCCGGUGUGAGGUAAUGAGAAUCAUCCUCAUAUUUUUCCAUUAUCAUAUGAUAUGAUAUAAUAGUGUGGUGAUCAGCUUGAGUCUGAGGUGGAGUUCCUGUGUUGUGUUGCUUGCAGCUGGGCAUCUAUGGCAAAAAAUGAUCUUCGUGGGCGAGCUCCUAAUGCUAUCAAGAACCGGUGGAACAACCACUUAAAGAAGAGGCAUGCGAUUAUAAGUGACCUUAGGCGACACCUCCUCUACCUAGAGGAACACCUCAUGGAUGAUAAGGCUAGUGAUUACUCUGUCCGGGGAGGUGACCUUAAGGCUUUGAUGGCUGAGUUUGCUUCUUUGAUUCCCAACGUUGAUCCAAAUGAGACUAGUGAUCACUCUAUCCGGGGAGAUGACCUUGAGGCUUUGAUGGCCAAGUUUGCUUCUUUGAUUCCCAAUGUUGACCCAAAUGAGAGUAGUGAUCACUCUAUCCGGGAAGAUGACCUUGAGGCUUUGAUGGCCAAGUUUGCUUCUUUGAUUCCCAACGUUGAUGCAAAUGAGACUAGUGAUCGCUCUAUCCGGGGAGAUGACCUUGAGGCUUUGAUGGCCAAGUUUGCUUCUUUGAUUCCCAAUGUUGACCCAAAUGAAAGUAGUGAUCACUCUAUCCGGGAAGAUGACCUUGAGGCUUUGAUGGCCAAGUUUGCUUCUUUGAUUCCCAACGUUGAUCCAAAUGAGACUAGUGAUCACUCUAUCCGGGGAGAUGACCUUGAGGCUUUGAUGGCCAAGUUUGCUUCUUUGAUUCCCAACGUUGAUCCAAAUGAGACUAGUGAUCACUCUAUCCGGGGAGAUGACCUUGAGGCUUUGAUGGCCAAGUUUGCUUCUUUGAUUCCCAACGUUGAUCCAAGUGCAAUUAGUUCGAUUCCUGAAUACACCAGCUGAAGAAAUCGCCAAGUUAAAGUGUAAUGAGAGUCCAAAGUACUAUGUCUUUGAGUGUCCUAUAUAUGUAUAUAUAUGUUUGCUGCUAAAUCAAGCAUCAU